Molecule: ribosomal RNA, 219 nt
Filed under: uncultured bacterium
Lineage: Bacteria
Description: partial 16S ribosomal RNA
Rfam family: Bacterial small subunit ribosomal RNA
Source: RNAcentral
AUUCUCAGUUCGGAUUGUAGGCUGAAACUCGCCUACAUGAAGCUGGAGUUACUAGUAAUCGCAGAUCAGAAUGCUGCGGUGAAUGCGUUCCCGGGUCUUGUACACACCGCCCGUCACACCACGGAAGUUGGGGGCGCCCGAAGCCACUUAGCUAACCCUUUUGGGAAGCGAGUGUCGAAGGUGAAAUCAAUAACUGGGGUGAAGUCGUAACAAGGUAGC